CACGACCAUACCACGCUGAACCACCGGUUCUCGUCCGAUCCCGAAGUUAAGCAACGUCGGGCCCGGUUAGUACUUAGAUGGGGGACCGCUUA
This 92-nucleotide ribosomal RNA is filed under the name Ronderosia bergii. Lineage: Eukaryota; Metazoa; Arthropoda; Insecta; Orthoptera; Acrididae. The record is from RNAcentral.